Tigriopus californicus is the source of this 937-nucleotide long non-coding RNA. RefSeq lists it as uncharacterized. Lineage: Eukaryota; Metazoa; Arthropoda; Copepoda; Harpacticoida; Harpacticidae. The record is from RefSeq and is a predicted model, not a curated record. The transcript has 3 exons.
GUGAUCUUCCUGAUGGAUUUAACCUCUACAGGGACCGUUACUACAAACUCCAUCAUGACGCAAAACCUUUGCUUGAAGCUAAAAGAAGUUGCAAUGUGGUUGGCAGUCAAGUUGCAGAGUUCAGGACUGCGAACCAAUUGGACGAUCUCUUAUCUUUUUUGGAAGUAAAAUCCAUUCAAUCUGUGUGGGCUUCAUUCUACCGGUUCAAAAGUGGAUGCACCGAAGAAGAAUGCAAUGGGAAUUUGCAUUGGCUUGUCCAACCCUAUGAAAUGCAAUUACUAAACGAAAGCCUCGACAUCGGAGAUUUGGAUUUGAGUGAAGAGAGAUGUGCUGUUCUAAGUAAAGAUGGAAAGCUGACCAAGAAAAAAUGUAAAGAAUUCGCCUCUUUUUUGUGCGAGUUCUCUUGUUCAGAUUGGUAUGGUAUGUGAGAAUCAAAGUUUUUGAACGAUGGUUUGACUAUGUAAUAAUUCAAUGUACAUUAUCCUUAAAGUCCCUGAAGAAUGUGCAAAUAACAAUACUCUACCUAUUUACGAAACUUUUGGGCGGCAUAUAUAUGCUGACCAACAUAAAAUGUUGCCUUUUGAUCAAGCAAUGGAAUUUUGCCGGAACAUUGGUGGGUCAUUAUUGGAACCUAAAAACUUUGAUGACUAUCAAUCCGCAUCGUUCAUGGCCACACUAUUUUCUGGGUUUGUCGGCUUGGUCAAUCCGCGAUCUUCGAAUAAAGAUGAAAUGGUGUAUUUGUCGGAUGGGUCGAAAGUCAAUGUCAAUAACUUGAGGCUGAUCACCAAUGGCUAUGAAAUGAAACAUCUGGAUAGGCCAGCUUUCCAACUGACUCAAGAUGGAAACUUAGAUGGAACGAAGAUUAAUGGAGUGCAAAAUAGGUUUUUUUGUGAAAUCGAUUGCUCGCAGGCCGGUACGCAACAUUGUGCAAAAUGAC